This 64-nucleotide transfer RNA is filed under the name Ochthebius sculptoides. RNAcentral describes it as "tRNA-His". The record is from RNAcentral. Lineage: Eukaryota; Metazoa; Arthropoda; Insecta; Coleoptera; Hydraenidae.
AUUUAAAUAGUUUAUAAAAAAUAUUGAUUUGUGAUAUCAAAGAAAUAAUUAAUUAUUUUAAAUA